GGGGAUGUGGUUCAAUGGUAGAGCGUCUGCCUUGCAUGCAGAAGACUCAGGGUUCGAUCCCCUGCUUCUCCA
Molecule: non-coding RNA, 72 nt
Organism: Alosa alosa (allis shad)
Lineage: Eukaryota; Metazoa; Chordata; Actinopteri; Clupeiformes; Clupeidae
Source: the annotation of a RefSeq genome assembly